Solea senegalensis (Senegalese sole) is the source of this 73-nucleotide non-coding RNA. NCBI's taxonomy places the organism in Eukaryota, Metazoa, Chordata, Actinopteri, Pleuronectiformes, Soleidae. The record is from the annotation of a RefSeq genome assembly.
GGCUCUGUGGCACAAUGGACAGCGCAUUGGACUUCUAAUUCAAAGGUUGUGGGUUCGAGUCCCACCAGAGUCA